This 540-nucleotide ribosomal RNA is filed under the name uncultured fungus. Its description in RNAcentral is "eukaryotic LSU rRNA". The stretch from base 181 to 334 matches the Rfam family "5.8S ribosomal RNA". The record is from RNAcentral. Lineage: Eukaryota; Fungi.
UUUCCGUAGGUGACCUGCGGAGGGAUCAUUACCGAGUGAGGGCGCCCCGCGCGCCCGACCUCCCAACCCUUUGCCGACCGAACCGCGUUGCCUCGGGGUGCCGGCGCCCGCGCCGCCCCCAAGAGGACCCAACCGAAACCCUGCGUCUCUGCGUCGGAGUCACUUUGAUAAAUCAAUCAAAACUUUCAACAACGGAUCUCUUGGUUCUGGCAUCGAUGAAGAACGCAGCGAAAUGCGAUAAGUAAUGUGAAUUGCAGAAUUCAGUGAAUCAUCGAAUCUUUGAACGCACAUUGCGCCCCCUGGCAUUCCGGGGGGCAUGCCCGUUCGAGCGUCAUUUCACCACUCAAGCCUGGCUUGGUAUUGGACGGCGGGGCACCCCCCCGCGCCCCGAAUUCGUCGGCUGGACGGACGGACUCUCAGCGUUGUGAUCUCUCAAUCCGCUCACGAGGACGCCCGGACGCGCCGUUAAAAUUGAAUCAGGUUGACCUCGGAUCGGGUAGGGAUACCCGCUGAACUUAAGCAUAUCAAUAAGCGGAGGAA